Molecule: non-coding RNA, 72 nt
Organism: Phrynosoma platyrhinos (Desert horned lizard)
Lineage: Eukaryota; Metazoa; Chordata; Lepidosauria; Squamata; Phrynosomatidae
Source: the annotation of a GenBank genome assembly
ACCGGUAUGGUGUAGUGGUUUGAGUGUUAGACUAUGAAUCUGGAGACCAGGGUUUGAUUCCCAAACUCGGUC